Non-coding RNA from Gossypium hirsutum (cotton), 143 nucleotides. The record is from Rfam. NCBI's taxonomy places the organism in Eukaryota, Viridiplantae, Streptophyta, Magnoliopsida, Malvales, Malvaceae.
UGUUAAAAUUCCAUCAAUUUCUAUUAUUAAAAAUUAACAUGGCUAAUAAAAUAAUCAAACAAUAACAUGGGGCAUGCUACAUGUAUCUUAUGCUACAUACAGAGACUAGAUUUUAAUAGAAGAAAUAGAUGAAAUUUUAAUCA